ACUCAACCUUGCUCAGUGACAGCAGACACGGAAGAAAACAGGAUUACUGAGGGAUGGCACAGUGCCUGAGGUACCGUGGAACAGACUGCGCACACUUGAGCCAGGAUGGAGGCAUAAACACAGGCUGUCAGUGCAGACAGCAGGAGGACAUCCAGUUCUAUAAUUCACACAUUAACAGGGCACCUGCUGUCUUUCUGAAUUUUGAGGGAAUUGAGUGCUGCAGAGUGCAGGUCUUGUAACACGUCAGAUUAUGGAUGUUUGCCUCAGAACACACCCUGUGCUCUUCAGUGAGAGCUCUGUGAUAUACCUUGAAUUUAGAU
Molecule: long non-coding RNA, 320 nt
Filed under: Cyanistes caeruleus (blue tit)
Lineage: Eukaryota; Metazoa; Chordata; Aves; Passeriformes; Paridae
Description: lncRNA (ENSCCEG00000020707.1)
Source: RNAcentral